RNAcentral lists this ribosomal RNA (301 nucleotides) under uncultured bacterium. RNAcentral describes it as "partial 16S ribosomal RNA". It matches the Rfam family "Bacterial small subunit ribosomal RNA", at positions 509 to 809 of the family's 1533-position model. The record is from RNAcentral.
CAGCCGCCGCGGGAACACGUAGGUGGCAAGCGUUGUCCGGAAUUAUUGGGCGUAAAGGGCUCGCAGGCGGUUUCUUAAGUCUGAUGUGAAAGCCCCCGGCUCAACCGGGGAGGGUCAUUGGAAACUGGGAAACUUGAGUGCAGAAGAGGAGAGUGGAAUUCCACGUGUAGCGGUGAAAUGCGUAGAGAUGUGGAGGAACACCAGUGGCGAAGGCGACUCUCUGGUCUGUAACUGACGCUGAGGAGCGAAAGCGUGGGGAGCGAACAGGAUUAGAUACCCCAGUAUCCCUGUCUCUUAUACA